GAUGAACGCUGGCGGCGUGCCUAAUACAUGCAAGUCGAGCGAACAGACGAGGAGCUUGCUCCUCUGACGUUAGCGGCGGACGGGUGAGUAACACGUGGAUAACCUACCUAUAAGACUGGGAUAACUUCGGGAAACCGGAGCUAAUACCGGAUAAUAUAUUGAACCGCAUGGUUCAAUAGUGAAAGACGGUUUUGCUGUCACUUAUAGAUGGAUCCGCGCCGCAUUAGCUAGUUGGUAAGGUAACGGCUUACCAAGGCAACGAUGCGUAGCCGACCUGAGAGGGUGAUCGGCCACACUGGAACUGAGACUCGGUCCAGACUCCUACGGGAGGCAGCAGUAGGGAAUCUUCCGCAAUUGGCGAAAGCCUGACGGAGCAACGCCGCGUGAGUGAUGAAGGUCUUCGGAUCGUAAAACUCUGUUAUUAGGGAAGAACAAAUGUGUAAGUAACUAUGCACGUCUUGACGGUACCUAAUCAGAAAGCCACGGCUAACUACGUG
This 497-nucleotide ribosomal RNA is filed under the name uncultured bacterium. Its description in RNAcentral is "partial 16S ribosomal RNA". It matches the Rfam family "Bacterial small subunit ribosomal RNA", at positions 28 to 507 of the family's 1533-position model. The record is from RNAcentral.